UUUCUUUUCAUCUGUCUCCCCUCUAUCUCUCUGCACCUCUUUCUUUUCUUCCAAAGUCUUUCCCUUUCCUUCGCCGCACUUCUCCUCUCUAAAACCUCUUUCUUUUCUUUUCUACUUCCUUCAUUCAUUGCUUUUCCCAAUUAAGCUAAUUUUGCUCGUAAAAAUCUCACCUUUUUAAUCUCAUCUUCUUUCCCCCAAGAAACUAGGGUUUCGUCAAAUGUUACCCCUUUUGGCAAACAGGCACACCAUUGUUUUGAUUCAAACUUCGCAAAAUAGAGCACCUAGAACGUUUGUGGAUUAUGAUUCUAUCAGUCAAAGCUAUGGACAUUAUACGUGAACUAUAUGAAAGGAAACUUAAAAAGCUCAACCCAGCAACUCAAAGCAUAACGUAUGACGUUGGUGUUCUUUACAAUUUUAUUGAUGGCCUUGCAGAUAUGAUUGCCCUCGUUCAAAAGGGACAAUUCAAAUGGAUGCCUUUUCACCAUGUGAUAAAAGAUUGUGAUUUUAGGAGGACAUUCACAAGGCCUUGGAGUCAUUGAAGAGUGGACAUCAAAAGGGAAGCUUUUAUUUUCUAUUGCAACUAUUUUUUAUUUUCUUUCAAUUCUCAAGUUUAGUUACUUAAUUAUAACAAUUUACAGCUUAAUCAAUCAUCAUUGAUUAGUUGCCAAGAAAUGGAACAAAUAAUCAAACACCAAAUAUUUGAUAAUAUAUCUGUAAAUCAGAUUUGUAAGGUUAGUUACUUGCAAUCACUUUAAGAGUUUUUACAA
Theobroma cacao (cacao) is the source of this 767-nucleotide non-coding RNA. NCBI's taxonomy places the organism in Eukaryota, Viridiplantae, Streptophyta, Magnoliopsida, Malvales, Malvaceae. The record is from RefSeq and is a predicted model, not a curated record.